RNAcentral lists this ribosomal RNA (465 nucleotides) under uncultured bacterium. Its description in RNAcentral is "partial 16S ribosomal RNA". It matches the Rfam family "Bacterial small subunit ribosomal RNA", at positions 28 to 507 of the family's 1533-position model. The record is from RNAcentral.
GAUGAACGCUGGCGGCGUGCUUAACACAUGCCAGUCGAACGGAAAGGCCCAAGCGUGCUUGGGUACUCGAGUAGCGAACGGGUGAGUAACACGUGAGCGAUCUGCCCUUCACUUCGAGAUAUGCCUGGGAAACUGGGACUAAUACCGGAUAGGACCACAUGUUGGAUGGUGGGGUGGAAAGUUUUUCGGUGUGGGAGGAGCUCGCGGCCUAGCAGCUUGUUGGUGGGGUAAUGGCCUACCAAGGCGUCGGGGGGUAGCCGGCCGGAGUGGGUGUACGGCAACAUUGGGACUGGGAUACGGCCCAGCCUCCUACGGGGGGAAGCGGUGGGGAAUAUGGCACAAUGGGGGCAGGCCUGAUGCAGCGAGGCGGGGUGGGGGAUGACGGCUUUCGGGUGGUAAACCCCUUUCGCUAGGGAGGAAGCGCAAGUGACGGUACCUGGAGAAGAAGCACCGGCUAACUACGUG